RNAcentral lists this ribosomal RNA (573 nucleotides) under uncultured eukaryote. Its description in RNAcentral is "eukaryotic LSU rRNA". It matches the Rfam family "Eukaryotic large subunit ribosomal RNA", at positions 1094 to 1645 of the family's 3401-position model. The record is from RNAcentral.
UCGGACCCCGGACGUGAAGUCGACGAUGGUCGGUGGGCUGGUUUUGGUAAGCAGAACGGGCGAUUCGGGAUGAACCGGAAGCGGGGAGAAAGGGCCCCGAGAUUGCGUCGACGCGGAUCCCGAAAAGGGCGUCGAUCCGUCGCGACAGCGGGACGGUGGUCAUGGAAGUCGAAAUCCGCUAAGAAGCGUGUAAAAACGUACCCGCCCAACGGAUCGGCCCCGAAAAUUGAUGGCGCUCGAACGCAACCCUCGAACCCCGCCGACGGAGGCUAGGGGAGGCCCCCGUCGAGUAGGCGGACGCGCGGGUCGCUUCGACGCUCCCGCGCGAGCGGGGGGCGGAGCGGCCCGUGGUGCAGAUCUUGGUGGUAGUAGCGAUCACCCAGGCGAGAACCCUGAGGGCCGAAGUGGAGAAGGGUUUCUCGAGAACGGCACUCGCUCGAGAGUUAGUCGAUCCUAAGCUGCCGGCGGCAGCCACGAAACGGUCGAUCGGGCGCGAGCCCGGCAGCCACGACCGGGCAGCGAAAAGGGAAUUGGGAACCUCCUUCCCAAACCCGGAACCGGAACGAGGGCGGC